GCAAACUUGGUCAUUUAGAGGAAGUAAAAGUCGUAACAAGGUUUCCGUAGGUGAACCUGCGGAAGGAUCAUUAAAGAAUAAACUUGGUCAAGCUGAUGCUGGUUCUUCGGGACAUGUGCACGCUUGCCACCAACUUUAUCAACCACCUGUGCACCUUUUGUAGACCAGAAACUCUUAUCGAGGCAACUCGGAUUGAGGAUUGCUGGGCGAAAGCCGGCUCUCCUUGUGUUUCUUGGUCUAUGUCUUUACAACACUCCGAAUGUAUGUAUAUGAAUGACUAGCUAGGCCAAUGUGCCUCUAAAAUCUAAUACAACUUUCAACAACGGAUCUCUUGGCUCUCGCAUCGAUGAAGAACGCAGC
Molecule: unclassified non-coding RNA, 360 nt
Filed under: uncultured fungus
Lineage: Eukaryota; Fungi
Description: partial contains small subunit ribosomal RNA, internal transcribed spacer 1, and 5.8S ribosomal RNA
Rfam family: Eukaryotic small subunit ribosomal RNA (bases 1-73)
Source: RNAcentral